This 666-nucleotide ribosomal RNA is filed under the name uncultured archaeon. Its description in RNAcentral is "bacterial SSU rRNA". It matches the Rfam family "Archaeal small subunit ribosomal RNA", at positions 1 to 666 of the family's 1478-position model. The record is from RNAcentral.
UCCGGUUGAUCCUGCCGGAGGCCACUGCUAUGGGGGUCCGACUAAGCCAUGCGAGUCAUGGGGCGCCUUGCGCGCACCGGCGGACGGCUCAGUAACACGUCGGUAACCUACCCUCGGGAGGGGGAUAACCCCGGGAAACUGGGGCUAAUCCCCCGUAGGCCUGAGGUACUGGAAGGUCCUCAGGCCGAAAGGGUCUUUGACCGCCCGAGGAUGGGCCGGCGGCCGAUUAGGUAGUUGGUGGGGUAACGGCCCACCAAGCCGAAGAUCGGUACGGGCCAUGAGAGUGGGAGCCCGGAGAUGGACACUGAGACACGGGUCCAGGCCCUACGGGGCGCAGCAGGCGCGAAACCUCCGCAAUGCUCGAAAGAGCGACGGGGGGACCCCCAGUGCCGUGGCAUCGCCACGGCUUUUCCGGAGUGUAAAGAGCUCCGGGAAUAAGGGCUGGGCAAGGCCGGUGGCAGCCGCCGCGGUAAUACCGGCGGCCCGAGUGGUGGCCGCUAUUAUUGGGCCUAAAGCGUCCGUAGCCGGGCCAGUAAGUCCCUGGCGAAAUCCCACGGCUCAACCGUGGGGCUUGCUGGGGAUACUGCUGGCCUUGGGACCGGGAGAGGCGGAGGGUACUCCUGGGGUAGGGGUGAAAUCCUAUAAUCCCAGGAGGACCGCCAGUGG